GUCUACAGCCAUGCUACCUUGAACAAGCCCGAUCCCGUCUGAUCUCGGAAGCUAAGCAGGGUCAGGCCUGGUUAGUACUUGGAUGGGAGACCACCUAGGAAAACCAGGUGCUGAAACCA
Molecule: ribosomal RNA, 119 nt
Filed under: Pteropus alecto (black flying fox)
Lineage: Eukaryota; Metazoa; Chordata; Mammalia; Chiroptera; Pteropodidae
Source: RNAcentral